UGGGUCCAUUCUAAUCAAGAGUCCUUAGAAGUAGAGAACCUUUCCUGGCUGGGGUCAGAGAGAGGUGGUGAUGGAAUAUGGGUCAGAGAGAUGCUGCUUUGCUGGCUUGAAAGUUGAAGGAAGAGAACCAUGAGCUCAAGAAUGGGAACAGCGUCGAGGAGAUGGAAAAGGCCAGAAAACAGCUCCUCCCCUAGAGCGUUCCAAAAGGAAUGCAGCCCCACCAACACCUAUUUUAUAACCCGGAAGCUGUCUCAGGUCUGGGAGUGCAUGCCUGGAAAAUCCCAUGGACAGUGGACCCUGGGCUGCAGUCCAUGGGGUCGCUGAGGGUCGGACACGCCUGAGCGACUUCACUUUCACUUUUCACUUUCAUGCAUUGGAGAAGGAAAUGGCAACCCACUCCAGUGUUCUUGCCUGGGGAAUCCCAGGGACGGGGGAGCCUGGUGGGCUGCCAUCUAUGGGGUCACACAGAGUAGGACACGACUGAAGCGACUUAGCAGCAGCAACAACAUGGCAUGCAGAAUCUUAUUUUCCCAACCAGGGAUCAAACCUGAGCCUACUACCAUGGAAUCUCGGAGUCCUAAUCUCUGGACCACCAGGGAAGUCCCAGGCAUGCAUUUUUAACAGUCCCAAUUCCCCUGACUUCUGCAGUAUCACCUUUCUGGCAGAUUUACGUGUACAUGGCCAAGGAAACAACUCCAUGCUUUCUAAAUGUCUAAAGAACAUACAGCAGGUUCCUCCUGUCUUUUGCUUGAGCUCAUCAUUUUGGCGAAUUACUGGCAGGUGGAGGUUCCAGCCAAAGGCCUUUCAACUCCUCCUGUGGUGUCUCAUGAAUCAAGAUAUUUUGUGCUAGAUGCUGGCUAUGAAUACAAUUUAUGUGCUGUAUUCUGGCUCCUAAACUUUUUGUGCGUUUUAAAAUAUGUUCAUUAUAUUACAGCCAGUUGAGAUCACGUUACAAAAAUAUAAAUCACCAUUAACAGCUGGCUAUUAUCAAAUUAUAAAAAAUAUAAAUCAUUGUUAAGGAUCACAGAUUACAUUUGCUAGAUAUUAUGUUGUUGGUUAAAAAAAGAAUCCCUGGUGCCAAUUUCAUUGUGCCUCUGUCAGUUGGGUUCUAGUAUUUUUUUUUUUUUAAUCUCUGUGUAAGAGUUUGGGGAAAUGUACUUACUUUAUAAAAGAAGGAAGUCCAGGAAGAUGAGUUGUAUAUUUAUCUGGUGGCCAUUUUUCUUUGAUAUUAAAUGUUUAUUUCCAUUUUCUUUUUACUUCCAGGGGGCCCAUUCUGCUUAUCUCUGCUCCUUCUCUUUUUCUUUGCAUCUCUCAACUUAAAGAAAUUGAAGUUGCUCUAAUUGUCAGAGACUAUGAUUCAAGCUCUUGGGCUCUCAUAGCAUUUCAGAUAGAAUCUCCUGGAGCAGGAGGGUGGGAAAGACCCAUUAGAAAAUAAUGGCUCAUCAGAAAAGAUCCUUUGCCUCAUUCAAAGACCACCACUGCAGCACUUUUUUCUCCAGGUGAUUUCCCUGAUUUCAGGUGUGUUUGCCACAUAUCUGUUAAUAUUUCCACUCUGACCAUAUUUUCAUUUAAGACCUUUACUAAAAAAUAGAAACAGUGGU
Long non-coding RNA from Bos taurus (domestic cattle), 1601 nucleotides. NCBI's taxonomy places the organism in Eukaryota, Metazoa, Chordata, Mammalia, Artiodactyla, Bovidae. The record is from Ensembl.